ACUGUCAGCUGCUUGGGAAACUCAACCGCUGCUGCUGUGACAGAUUCAACAACACAACGGGUGAUGCACUUUCUGGGCGACUCUGGCAAAGAAAUUCCAUCGCAGCAAAUUGGAAUUUUACAAAAAGGAUGUGAGGUGAAGAUGGUUGUGGAGGUUCAUGGGAGCACGGAGCUGCAUCGUGGGGAUAUGCAGCUACAGUGCCGUGAAAAAGUAUUUGCCCCCUUCCUGAUUUCUGUGUUUUUUGCAUAUUUAUCACACACAAAGGUUUCAGAUCAUCAAACCAAUUUUAGUAUGACACAGAGACAACCCAAGGAAAUAGAAAAUGCAGUUUCUAAAUGAUGAUUUUAUUUACCAAGAGAGAAAAAAUUACAAACUUGUCUGGCCCUCCCCACAGUCCAGAGAUCAACGUGGUUCCAGGACCUCUCUGUUUCUUAUGACCGACAAGUGUUAUUUGCAUGUGUAUUUUUCCAUGUUGUAUUUAACAUAUGUUUGAUAUAAAUGCCAUAUAAAGUCAUAUGAUGUGUUUAAAAAAAGUUAUGAAAUUGUGAUUCCAUUUCAGUAGCCUGCACAGUAAACAACGUACAGCACUAUCAUGAUAUAAUUUUAACUGCCCCUGUGUAUUUUAAAUGAUUCUGUUUUAUAAAGAGCAAAUUAAUAAAUUAUUUUUUUCAGUAAGAAUUCAA
Molecule: long non-coding RNA, 683 nt
Organism: Cynoglossus semilaevis (tongue sole)
Lineage: Eukaryota; Metazoa; Chordata; Actinopteri; Pleuronectiformes; Cynoglossidae
Exons: 2
Source: RefSeq, a predicted model, not a curated record